Molecule: ribosomal RNA, 258 nt
Filed under: uncultured bacterium
Lineage: Bacteria
Description: partial 16S ribosomal RNA
Rfam family: Bacterial small subunit ribosomal RNA
Source: RNAcentral
GUCCGCACUGUAAACGAUGAUUACUCGCUUCUGGGAGGUAACUUUCAGUGGCUUAGCGAAAGCGAUAAGUAAUCCACCUGGGGAGUACGCCGGCAACGGUGAAACUCAAAGGAAUUGACGGGGCCCGCACAAGCGGAGGAGCAUGUGGUUUAAUUCGAUGAUACGCGAGGAACCUUACCAGGGCUUGAAAGUUAGUGACCGACUCUGAAAGGAGUCUUUUCCGCAAGGACACGAAACUAGGUGCUGCAUGGCUGUCGU